Molecule: non-coding RNA, 45 nt
Organism: Desulfobacteraceae bacterium IS3
Lineage: Bacteria; Pseudomonadati; Thermodesulfobacteriota; Desulfobacteria; Desulfobacterales; Desulfobacteraceae
Source: Rfam
ACACCGGCUGUUUUACAGCCACAGAUUUUUUGACAGAAGAUUUGU